Homo sapiens (human) is the source of this 1408-nucleotide long non-coding RNA. Lineage: Eukaryota; Metazoa; Chordata; Mammalia; Primates; Hominidae. The record is from Ensembl.
AAGAAGAAACACCGAAACAAAUUUGUACAAGUGCAGCAUUUGUGUAGCAUUUCUUUUGAUGUGUGUUUUGUGCAGAUGAAACAAACAUUAAAAUUUUCAGAGAUUUCUUUUAUAACAGUAAAUGUGUCCUAUUUGUUUCCAGCUCUUUGACAUUGGACAAAUUUUUAUUGUUGCUUGAUCAUCAGGGUGUCUGCGUUUGAUCUCGUGAAAGUUUCAGAAUGGGCCUGGCGCGGUGGCUCAUGCCUGCAAUCCCAGCACUUUGGGAGGCCAAGGUGGGCGGAUCACCUGAGGUCAGGAGUUGGAGACCAGCCUGACCAACAUGGAGAAACCCCGUCUCUACUAAAAAUACAAAAUUAGCCGGGCGUGGUGACGCAUGCCUGUAAUCCCAGCUACUCGGGAGGCUGAGGCAGGAUAAUUGCUUGAACCCGGGAGGCGGAGGUUGCGGUGAGCCGAGGUCGUGCCAUUGCACUCCAGUCCAGCCUGGACAACAAGAGUGAAACUCCGUCUCAAAAAAAAAAGUUUCAGAAUGAUGGCCAAAACAACAUUUCUCAUUUAGCAUAGUAACACAGAUCUUCGUGGGAGAAGAAAGGCCAUGUGAAGACACGGUGAGAAGACGGCCAUCUGAAAGUCAGGAGGAGUAUCCUCUUGAGAACUGAAUCAAGCUAGUACUUUGAUCUUGGACUUCCAGCCUCCAGAACUGCAGUGUUGGUCUGCAAGCUUCAAGAGCCAGUGACCCUGACUGCCAAGUGAUUUGCCGAAGGGAAUUAUGGUUUUGCAUUUGAUGGUUUCCAGGAACUGCUAAGAGUGAGAUCAUCCCUGAAGCAGUGACUGCCAGAGGAAGGCGAGAGACAUAUGGUGGCCUUACAGGUAUUCUUUCCAAAUCUAUAUUAAGAGAUUACACAGAAAAUGUCUGCAUCUAAAUAUAUGUCUCAUGAAAUAAAGUUCAUGAACCUUUUUUAUUUCCUCUUAUGACCUAUGAUUGGGAUUUUGUCUGAAUAUCAAUAGUGCCAAAAAUAAAUAUAGAACUGUUAAGAUCUCACUGCAUUAUCCAUUAUUAUAAGGAAAUUGUAGUAAAGACAUUAUGAGUAUAGAGACAAAAAAGUAGAACUUAUAGGAUUAAAAAUAAUGGAUAUUUUACAGUAUUUCAUGAGACCAAGAGACAGAGCGUGAAGAGUUCAUGCAGUCUGUGGGGCUGAGUAUCUUUCACUUCUGUUCUUCUUGCACUUUACCUAUUAUUCUCUUAACCCUGCAUACACUGCCUUCUUGUUGAAAAAAAGUCAUGAUAGAGGACAAUCAGAAGUUCUAUUGUUUAGAAAGUAAAUGAGGAAAAUGUGAAAGUUAGGUAUGUGAGAUUAAAUGUGGCCAGCAUGAUAUAGUAGAAGCAAAAAAAAAAAAAAAAAAAAAAAAA